GGGGAAGAGCUGCCUCAGUUAGGACACAGAGCGAACCAUGGAAGCCCCCACUCAGCUUCUCUGCCUCCUGUUACUCUGGAUUCCAGAUACCACCGGAGAAAUCGUGAUGACCCAGUCUCCAGCCUCCUUGUCUUUGUCUUCAAGAGAAAGAGCCACCUUCAACUGCAGGCCCAGUCAGAGUGUUAGUAGCUACUUAGCCUGGUACCAGCAGAAACCUGAGGAGGCUCCCAGGCUCCUCAUUUAUAGUGCAUCUACCAGGGCCACUGGCAUCCCAGCCAGAUUCAGUGGCAGUGGGUCUGGGACAGAAUUUACUCUCACCAUCAGCAACCUGGAGCCUGAAGAUUUUGCAACUUACUACUGUCAGCAAUAUUAUAUUGAGUAUCCACAGUGA
Molecule: non-coding RNA, 391 nt
Organism: Pteropus alecto (black flying fox)
Lineage: Eukaryota; Metazoa; Chordata; Mammalia; Chiroptera; Pteropodidae
Source: the annotation of a RefSeq genome assembly